Molecule: long non-coding RNA, 707 nt
Organism: Gekko japonicus
Lineage: Eukaryota; Metazoa; Chordata; Lepidosauria; Squamata; Gekkonidae
Exons: 2
Source: RefSeq, a predicted model, not a curated record
AGAACGGCCUCUCGUUUAUCGAGACCUCUGCUUUGGACUCGACGAAUGUGGAAGCGGCCUUCCAGACCAUUCUGACGGAGAUCUACCGCAUCGUGUCCCAGAAGCAAAUGUCCGACAGACGCGAGAACGACAUGUCUCCGAGCAACAAUGUGGUCCCGAUCCAUGUCCCCCCGACCACAGAAAACAAACCAAAGAUGCAGUGCUGUCAAAAUAUAUAACGAGUUUCUUUCCAGUGUAAUAUUCCCCCCACUUCCAAAAUGGAAAUAGAUCUUUGGGUUCACGUUGGUAUUCCUUUGAUUAUCCCCACCCCACCCCACCCUGUCCCCAUUCAAUUAGGCCUUUCUGAUUCUUUUCACUGGAGUUCUCCAUGUCUUAACCUCUUUUGAUUUCCAUAUUACGAAUCCUUCAUCGUUUGCAUGUGGCUGCAGCAUUAUCGAAACGUUAAGUCUGGCAGGGCAAAUAUCACGACGGAUUCCCCUUUCCGGCGUGCUGGCGUAUUCAGCCGAGAACCAGGAUUGGCCACCCCCACCCCCUCCCGUCUUUUGCAGCUUGGAAUGCGAAUCACGACACUCCAGAAAAUGUGAGUUGACGACCCCUGAGAAUUUUUUUUAAGAAACACUUUUUAUCCACUGAACCUCAAUAUCGGAUGUUUCCGGAGGAACAGGCUGUGUACAGCUUGCUACUGUCAGCCUGUCCCCCCCCCCCCC